Molecule: long non-coding RNA, 772 nt
Organism: Miniopterus natalensis
Lineage: Eukaryota; Metazoa; Chordata; Mammalia; Chiroptera; Miniopteridae
Source: RefSeq, a predicted model, not a curated record
CCUGUCUGCGGGGCGAGAGCCGGUCCCGGGCCGACCGUGCGCCCGGGGAGUUUGUCUCCGACGCCUCGGGGUGCGGCAGCCGGAGGUCUAAGCGCAGGUUGAAAACUACAGGUACAAGCCAUUGACUCUGGAACCCUGUGAUGCUGGUAUUUUAACUGACUGACUCCAACUUUCACACUACAGUUCACAAUAAGCAAGUUCCUUUUAAUGAGGUCAGACGUCCUUCGAUAACUUGUAGCAACCAUGUGUCCUGCACCGGCACAGAAGUUAGAGCAGUGGCACAGUGCUGGUGGUGAGAGGGCAGCGUAGUGGGUGCUUUAUUUUCAUCUUUUCAUUUCUCACAACUCAGUGAAGUCAGUACUCUCAUUUUGCAGGUGAAGCAACAUCAAGCCCCCCCCUUCCCAGGACUCUGGGCCACCCCUAUAUCCAGUCUUAGUCAAGAAUUAGAAGAAAGGAUCCCCCAUGUCCCACCUCCAACCUAUGUGGAAAGGACCUUCCCCCAUUCUCUUAAAGUUCCCGAAGCAGAUCCCCAACUGCCAAAUUCCGAGAGAGAGUUCUUGGCGCAAGUGCAAAGAUUAGGUUUAAAUGAAUGUAGCCUAAUGUAAGCAGGAAUAGAAAGGGCACGAUGGUGCUAAAUAGAAUAGGAAGGUGCUGGAGGUGAUGGGGAAAGUUUUCAGGAUGAAUGCAGCCCAGUAUGUGCUGGAAGUUCCUGUUGCUCAGCUCAAUGUCUACCUCAUUUCCUGAAAUCGUAAAUAAAGGUAUUUAAUAUUCA